UUGGUGACUAUCUUCUGAUUCAGCUUCUUCAUGUGCUUCUGUUAAAGUGCUUGCUAGACUUGUUGAAUCAGCAUUUGCUGAAGUUAGUUUCUUGUGUCUCGUAGAAAAACUAUCGGAUAAUGAGCAGUCAUUCAGAUAGUUUGGGUGCACUGAUUUGGUGCUUCUGAUGCUACUGACAUUCACCUUGUUACCCUUGACUUCCAAAUAGUGGACAAAAACUAUGUGCAUGAGAUCCUGUUCAAGCAUCCAAUAACUACGCCUUUGAAAAUUAUCAUCUUCUUCUCCAUGGGCAUAGUAGCAG
Molecule: unclassified non-coding RNA, 301 nt
Filed under: Hevea brasiliensis (rubber tree)
Lineage: Eukaryota; Viridiplantae; Streptophyta; Magnoliopsida; Malpighiales; Euphorbiaceae
Source: RNAcentral